Molecule: long non-coding RNA, 1588 nt
Organism: Monodelphis domestica (gray short-tailed opossum)
Lineage: Eukaryota; Metazoa; Chordata; Mammalia; Didelphimorphia; Didelphidae
Source: Ensembl
AUGAAUGGGCUCAAUGCGCAUAUAAAGGCUGGGGAGGAGCGAUCAGAAAGGAAUGGAAUUCCAGUCUCCCGCAGGUGGAGGCCAGCCCCGGGGCCGGCCCCGACCGGGAGGAGUAGGACUGGGGAGAGGGCAGAGGUGGGGCCCCGUGACUCUACCAGGAAGCUAGGGUCCAAGGACCAAGCAUUUCCCUGUCCCACCCUGAGAGCCGGAACCUUCGGCGCUGGUAAGUUGGCUUUGACUCUUGGAAGAGUAAGUAAGUGCCUUCUCUGCGGGGCGGGGCGGGGCUCCCUGGCUUCUCAGCCUCUGGGGAGGGGGCCUGCCGGACGGCUCGAGGAAGCGCCCCCUUCCUUCCCCGCCGGGAAACUCCAGGAAGAGGCUUGGAGUGGGAGGGACCGGGGCCGGCGGACUACACCCCCGGCUCUCCUAGAAACCAGCCGGCGACAUUCCGGGAGCCCCAGAGGCAGCCACCAGGCUGGUGGACCCCACAGGAGCCCCAGAGGACAGCAAGACCCCAGGGCGGAGCCAGGUGAGGGGCGCCCCCACCUUCCCCCUCCCCCUCCUCCGCGACUCUCCAGGCCUAACCCACCUCCCAUUCAUCCCCUGCAGCUGAGCCCACAGCCGCUGGUGGCCAGAGCCCUGGGGGAGGCCGGGCCCAAGACCCCACUGGAGCAGGUCACCCGGGAGCGGGACGAUGCCAUUGCCAAGAAGCUGGCAGUAGAAGCCGAGCUGGGCAUCUGCAGGGCCAAACUCCAAGCCUCGGAGAAGCAGUUGCUGGAGGUGGUGGCAGAGAAGCUGAAGCUGAUGGAGGAGAUCGAGGCCUGGAAGGUAGGGCAGGCCCUGGCUUCCCCCAGGGCGAGGAUUUCUGGUGGGGCUCUCUGCUCCCCUCCCAGCCCCGGCCUCCCCCAACCUCCGUCUCUUCCCCAGGAAGACAUGCAGGAGCUGAUCCGCCAACAGAUUCACAGGCAGCUGCAGAGAGAGGGCAGGGCCCCUGCCUCCGAGCCCAGAGCCCCCCGGGCUGGCCUGACCUCCCAUUUCUCCCAGUGGCAGUGGAGAUGGCGGAGGACUACAUUCUCUGCUUCCAACUCCACUGAAGACUCAGAGCCCUAAUCCUUUUUUGACUCCAUGACCUGUCCUGGGGAUUUGAUGGAUCCUUGACACUGAUUGCAGGACUAUGGGAUGCUUCUGACUGUCAAGAAGGCUGAUGCUCUGCCCUCCAGGCCCUAGUGGAUAAACCUCAUCUGCUACAACAUCUGGACCAUGGGCUAUGCUGAUUCCUCUCAUUCUGUUUCUGAUGAAGACCAAGGGGACCCAUCUAAACGGAGGCAGGAGAGCCUGCUGCUCAGUGCUCCUGGUCUCAGACUAGCUGGAAUCAUGGUUGCCUGGGCUCCUCCUUUGUUUCUGGGGCUUGAACUUGGAGUUAGCAGUCUCCCCAACUCCUUAUGCUUGUUGACCCUCCUCCGACCUGGGGGUGCCUACUAGUAGCCUGGGUAUUUGGCAAAGAAUCAAGCUGGUUCAUUCAAUAUUCAUUAAGUAAAUUAUGCUAUGUGCUGGGCAUACCAAGACAAAAUAAAAAGUCUGUCUGGCCUCA